This 681-nucleotide ribosomal RNA is filed under the name Oenococcus oeni. RNAcentral describes it as "bacterial SSU rRNA". It matches the Rfam family "Bacterial small subunit ribosomal RNA", at positions 805 to 1486 of the family's 1533-position model. The record is from RNAcentral. Lineage: Bacteria; Bacillati; Bacillota; Bacilli; Lactobacillales; Lactobacillaceae.
AACGAUGGGUGCUAGUUGUUAAGAGGUUUCCGCCUCCUAGUGACGUAGCAAACGCAUUAAGCACCCCGCCUGAGGAGUACGGCCGCAAGGCUAAAACUUAAAGGAAUUGACGGGGACCCGCACAAGCGGUGGAGCAUGUGGUUUAAUUCGAAGAUACGCGAAAAACCUUACCAGGUCUUGACAUACCAAUGAUCGCUUUUGUAAUGAAAGCUUUUCUUCGGAACAUUGGAUACAGGUGGUGCAUGGUCGUCGUCAGUUCGUGUCGUGAGAUGUUGGGUUAAGUCCCGCAACGAGCGCAACCCUUGUUAUUAGUUGCCAGCAUUUAGUUGGGCACUCUAAUGAGACUGCCGGUGAUAAACCGGAGGAAGGUGGGGACGACGUCAGAUCAUCAUGCCCCUUAUGACCUGGGCAACACACGUGCUACAAUGGGAAGUACAACGAGUCGCAAACCGGCGACGGUAAGCUAAUCUCUUAAAACUUCUCUCAGUUCGGACUGGAGUCUGCAACUCGACUCCACGAAGGCGGAAUCGCUAGUAAUCGCGAAUCAGCAUGUCGCGGUGAAUACGUUCCCGGGUCUUGUACACACCGCCCGUCAAAUCAUGGGAGUCGGAAGUACCCAAAGUCGCUUGGCUAACUUUUAGAGGCCGGUGCCUAAGGUAAAAUCGAUGACUGGGAUUAAGU